GACGAACGCUGGCGGCGUGCUUAACACAUGCAAGUCGAGCGAUGAAAUUCCUUCGGGAAUGGAUUAGCGGCGGACGGGUGAGUAACACGUGGGUAACCUGCCUCAUAGAGGGGAAUAGCCCUCCGAAAGGAAGAUUAAUACCGCAUAAGAUUGUAGUUUCGCAUGAAACAGCAAUUAAAGGAGUAAUCCGCGAGGAGAUGGACCCGCGUCGCAUUAGCUAGUUGGUGAGGUAACGGCUCACCAAGGCGACGAUGCGUAGCCGACCUGAGAGGGUGAUCGGCCACAUUGGGACUGAGACACGGCCCAGACUCCUACGGGGGGCAGCAGUGGGGAAUAUUGCACAAUGGGGGAAACCCUGAUGCAGCAACGCCGCGUGAGUGAUGACGGUCUUCGGAUUGUAAAACUCUGUCUUCAGGGACGAUAAUGACGGUACCUGAGGAGGAAGCCACGGCUAACUACGUGCCAGCCGCCGCAGUAA
This 478-nucleotide ribosomal RNA is filed under the name uncultured bacterium. RNAcentral describes it as "partial 16S ribosomal RNA". It matches the Rfam family "Bacterial small subunit ribosomal RNA", at positions 28 to 523 of the family's 1533-position model. The record is from RNAcentral.